This 253-nucleotide ribosomal RNA is filed under the name uncultured bacterium. RNAcentral describes it as "partial 16S ribosomal RNA". It matches the Rfam family "Bacterial small subunit ribosomal RNA", at positions 524 to 776 of the family's 1533-position model. The record is from RNAcentral.
UACGUAGGGGGCAAGCGUUGUCCGGAAUCAUUGGGCGUAAAGAGCGUGUAGGCGGCCCGAUAAGUCCGCUGUGAAAGUCCAGGGCUCAACCCUGGAAUGCCGGUGGAUACUGUCGGGCUCGAAUCCGGAAGAGGUGAGUGGAAUUCCUGGUGUAGCGGUGAAAUGCGUAGAUAUCGGAAGGAACAUCAGUGGCGAAAGCGACUUCCUGGACCAGUACCGACGUUCAGGCACGAAAGCGUGGGGAGCAAACAGG